AAAGGCGCAGCGCUGAUAAAAGCGAACGGAACAGCAGCUUUGCUUGACGGGCCUGUGCGAAGCGCCAGUUGUGACUUCUGGGACUCGGUUCGAAGGAGGCAGUGGCUCGCGCAUUUCACGGGAACUCUCUCAGCAAGGCUUCAAUAAUCAUCUGAGGCUCUGAGAGGCUAUUCACCAUCCACAGUAGGAGAGAACAAGUUCUCACUUUCCUUCAUUCAGUUAAUUCUUCGUUUUUCUCAUCCUCGUCCACUAUUUUCUGACUAAAGUUUCUGGAGAGCUCGAAAGAUUUACCUCUUUUUGAAAGAAUUUUGGUUGGUCCUAUUUGUAACACUGCUUACACUACUAUUGUUUUUUUAAAUCUUUCUAUGAGCCAGCAUCGCUACCUAUCUUCCCUCUUUUACACUUUCCUUUACAUCAAUGAUUCUUACAACUGAAAAACGAACCAGAGUUACCAACCUGUGUUGCUUGUUUGUCAGUCUGGCACCUUCUGUGUGCUUGGUGCCUUAUUACCAUGACCGGUCCUUUGCCCCAGGAUUUUGCAAUCUAAAUUUCGAUGGAGGAGGAGACAACAGAGGUGAAGGAUCUGGGAAUGCUUUGAAGAGAGUCGCCUUUAUUGUCAUGAAAAAGUUGUGGCUUCUCACCCCAUGUAUACACAGCAAAACAGGCAUGUGAUGGAUUCACACAAUUUAGAGCUUUCAUCUGAAACAGCCCUGAAGCUGAGGGUGCAACCAUUCAACCAACAUAAUGAGUAUACCACACAACAGAAUAAUUUGUUUAUUCUGAAGCUAUGGAACCCAAGAAUUACACUACAAGGUGUACAAAUUAAUAUCUCUAUAGUCAGUGCAUUCAAAUUUGAUGUAUAUACAGUGAAUUCAAUAAAUACAUAAGAACUA
Molecule: long non-coding RNA, 893 nt
Organism: Eublepharis macularius
Lineage: Eukaryota; Metazoa; Chordata; Lepidosauria; Squamata; Eublepharidae
Exons: 2
Source: RefSeq, a predicted model, not a curated record